UGCCAGCCGCCGCGGUAAUACGGAGGGUGCAAGCGUUAUCCGGAAUCACUGGGCGUAAAGCGCGCGUAGGCGGUUAGAUCAGUUGGGUGUGAAAGCCCCGGGCUCAACCUGGGAACUGCAUUCAAUACUGUCUGACUGGAGUAUGGGAGAGGGCAGUGGAAUUCCAUGUGUAGCGGUGAAAUGCGUAGACAUGUGGAGGAACACCAGUGGCGAAGGCGACUGCCUGGACCGAUACUGACGCUGAGACGCGAAAGCGUGGGGAGCAAACAGGAUUAGAUA
Molecule: ribosomal RNA, 279 nt
Filed under: uncultured bacterium
Lineage: Bacteria
Description: partial 16S ribosomal RNA
Rfam family: Bacterial small subunit ribosomal RNA
Source: RNAcentral